CCUACGGGAGGCAGCAGUAAGGAAUAUUGGACAAUGCUCGCAAGAGUGAUCCAGCCAUGCCGCGUGCAGGAAGAAUGCCCUAUGGGUAGUAAACUGCUUUUGAACUAGAGAAAACCCCAGUACGUGUACUGGGCUGAUAGUAUAGUUAGAAUAAGCAUCGGCUAACUUCGUGCCAGCAGCCGCGGUAAGACGAAGGAUGCAAGCGUUAUCCGGAUUCAUUGGGUUUAAAGGGAGCGUAGGUGGACUGAUAAGUCAGUGGUGAAAUCUCCGAGCUUAACUCGGAAAUUGCCAUUGAUACUGUUGGUCUUGAGUACAGUUGCUGUGGGCGGAAUAUGACAUGUAGUGGUGAAAUACAUAGGAGAUGUCAUAGAACACCGUAUUGACGAAGGCAGCUCAACAAAGCUAGUAACUGACACUGAGGCUACGAAAGUGGCGGGGUAUACAAACGAGGUAUUAGACUACCCGUGGUACGUCCGCAACCGUAAACGAUGAUUACUCGCUGCGUAGGGGGCCUAACCGUUUAGUGGUCUUAGACGAAAGCGAAUAAGUAAUCCCACCGUGGGGAGUACGCCGGCGAACGGUGAAACUACGAAAGGAAUUGGACCGGNGNGAGACGCGACGACGGACGACGACGGAGGGAGGAGG
This 645-nucleotide ribosomal RNA is filed under the name uncultured bacterium. RNAcentral describes it as "bacterial SSU rRNA". It matches the Rfam family "Bacterial small subunit ribosomal RNA", at positions 338 to 959 of the family's 1533-position model. The record is from RNAcentral.